GACGAACGCUGGCGGCGUGCCUAAUACAUGCAAGUAGAACGCUGAAGGAGGAGCUUGCUUCUCUGGAUGAGUUGCGAACGGGUGAGUAACGCGUAGGUAACCUGCCUGGUAGCGGGGGAUAACUAUUGGAAACGAUAGCUAAUACCGCAUAAGAGUAGAUGUCGCAUGACAUUUGCUUAAAAGGUGCAAUUGCAUCACUACCAGAUGGACCUGCGUUGUAUUAGCUAGUUGGUGAGGUAACGGCUCACCAAGGCAACGAUACAUAGCCGACCUGAGAGGGGGAUCGGCCACACUGGGACUGAGACACGGCCCAGACUCCUACGGGAGGCAGCAGUAGGGAAUCUUCGGCAAUGGACGGAAGUCUGACCGAGCAACGCCGCGUGAGUGAAGAAGGUUUUCGGAUCGUAAAGCUCUGUUGUAAGAGAAGAACGAGUGUGAGAGUAGAAAGUUCACACUGUGACGGUAUCUUACCAGAAAGGGACGGCUAACUACGUG
RNAcentral lists this ribosomal RNA (495 nucleotides) under uncultured bacterium. RNAcentral's name for it is "partial 16S ribosomal RNA". It matches the Rfam family "Bacterial small subunit ribosomal RNA", at positions 28 to 507 of the family's 1533-position model. The record is from RNAcentral.